CACCACGUUGAGGGGUAUUGGCGACAGA
This 28-nucleotide small RNA is filed under the name Bombyx mori (domestic silkworm). RNAcentral describes it as "ovarian small RNA-4658". The record is from RNAcentral. Lineage: Eukaryota; Metazoa; Arthropoda; Insecta; Lepidoptera; Bombycidae.